Molecule: ribosomal RNA, 273 nt
Filed under: uncultured prokaryote
Description: partial 16S ribosomal RNA
Rfam family: Bacterial small subunit ribosomal RNA
Source: RNAcentral
AACGUAGGAGGCUAGCGUUAUUCGGAUUUAUUGGGCGUAAAGCGCGUGCAGGCGGUCUAGCAAGUUGGAUGUGAAAGCUCCUGGCUCAACUGGGAGAGGUCGUUCAAUACUGUUAGACUAGAGAAUGGGAGAGGGAGGUGGAAUUCCGGGUGUAGUGGUGAAAUGCGUAGAUAUCCGGAGGAACACCAGUGGCGAAAGCGGCCUCCUGGACCAUUUCUGACGCUAAGACGCGAAAGCUAGGGUAGCAAACGGGAUUAGAAACCCUUGUAGUCC